CAUGGGUAUAAUACGACCUGGG
RNAcentral lists this microRNA (22 nucleotides) under Lepisosteus oculatus (spotted gar). Its description in RNAcentral is "Loc-Mir-729_3p (mature (guide))". The record is from RNAcentral. Lineage: Eukaryota; Metazoa; Chordata; Actinopteri; Semionotiformes; Lepisosteidae.